Molecule: long non-coding RNA, 1281 nt
Filed under: Homo sapiens (human)
Lineage: Eukaryota; Metazoa; Chordata; Mammalia; Primates; Hominidae
Description: HSALNT0251980
Source: RNAcentral
UGAAGAAGUGCUACUUUGUGUCAAAGGUAGCAAACAAGAAUGCUGUCUUCUAAAAACAGGAACUUCCACUAGUGUUCACCAGAAAUAAAAUAAAAUCUGUAGAUCCACAAGGAUUUACUCAAAUAGUUUGCAGACUCACUAUCAAAACAUUCUUGUAGGGCCUGUGUGUUAAAAAAAAAAUCCCAUCAAUGCGUAAUGGCAAAUAGACAAAAUUGCUGAAAAAAACUCCUAAAUUGGAGUUUGGAAUCAAUAUCCUUUUGACUAUAUGUCAAAAAGAAGAGAAUGUAGAAAUUGUCUGUCAAUGUGCUUAGCAUGUGUUAGCCUAAUGUAGUGACUGUGAAGGUUUAUAUCAUAAGCAAUUCUAUUCUUCCUCCUUUGAACUUGCCCUCUUUCCACCUCUCCCCAGAUACCUCCCACCCCAUCUUGCAUGUAUGUUUCUUUUACCUUUGCCUUUUGAACCUACAUCUUUGAAGUUGCUGCUAUCCUCUGAAUCCCACGAAGGCUGCUGAUUGCCCAGGGCCUUGGGUUGAGGUGGCUGGUGGUUUCUGUUCUCCUUUGCUUCUAUGAGACCCAGCAAAUUCCUUGCAGCUUCUUCCCACCUGAUGUACUCUCUCAGCUGCUGCUUCAGGCUCCCUCUCUCAGAAACAGAAGAAGACUCCCCUGUGCUCUUUUUCCCCAUUAAGUGCCCUGUAAAAACAAAAACAAAAACACUCAGAAUGCCACAAAUUUAACCAAAGGGAAUGAAUGAGAAAUUUAAAAGAAAUUUAAAGCUAAUUGUGUUUGUGCUGCUUCCUCCUAAAUGCAGAAUAAAUCAUGUUUUAUUAAGAGUUAGUUCAUAAACGACAGAUAGAUUUUGCUCUCUGUUCAAAAUGUGCAAUGAGCUAGACAGCAUUCAGAACUGCAACCCAGGAACCCUGGGUUUGGUUCCAGCACCUCUCCUAACUAGUUAGGUCACCUCUGCCAAGUCGUUUAGCACCCCUAGUCUUCAAUUUUCUCAACUAUAAAAUGAACAGGGUAGACUAGAUUAAAUCUAAGGAGGCUUCCAUAUCUAAAAUUCUAUCAUCAAUUCUGUGUGCACCAAAUUCUAUUUCCAGCUGAAAGAUGGAGUUUAAACAUCUUCCCCAGCCAAUUUUGAAUUGCUGCUGAAAAUAAAAGUCUCCAUGCUUUUCUUUGUGUGGUUUUUUAAAAAUAUUUCUUUCCUUUUAUCGUAAUAAAAAAAAUACCAAAGGAAUUUUUCAUUUAAACUUUCUCAGAGUUUUAGUUGAGACUGAACUGAGAAAA